CAGUAGCCGCGGUAAUACGUAGGUGGCAAGCGUUGUCCGGAAUUAUUGGGCGUAAGGCGCGCGCAGGCGGAUUGGUCAGUCUGUCUUAAAAGUUCGGGGCUUAACCCCGUGAUGGGAUGGAAACUGCCAAUCUAGAGUAUCGGAGAGGAAAGUGGAAUUCCUAGUGUAGCGGUGAAAUGCGUAGAUAUUAGGAAGAACACCAGUGGCGAAGGCGACUUUCUGGACGAAAACUGACGCUGAGGCGCGAAAGCCAGGGGAGCGAACGGGAUUAGAGACCCCCGUAGUCCCUGUCUCUUAUACA
RNAcentral lists this ribosomal RNA (301 nucleotides) under uncultured bacterium. RNAcentral's name for it is "partial 16S ribosomal RNA". It matches the Rfam family "Bacterial small subunit ribosomal RNA", at positions 509 to 809 of the family's 1533-position model. The record is from RNAcentral.